GUUGACCUCGGAUCAGGUAGGGAUACCCGCUGAACUUAAGCAUAUCAAUAAGCGGAGGAAAAGAAACCAACAGGGAUUGCCCUAGU
This 86-nucleotide ribosomal RNA is filed under the name Pseudocercospora xylopiae. RNAcentral's name for it is "partial 28S ribosomal RNA". It matches the Rfam family "Eukaryotic large subunit ribosomal RNA", at positions 1 to 84 of the family's 3401-position model. Lineage: Eukaryota; Fungi; Ascomycota; Dothideomycetes; Mycosphaerellales; Mycosphaerellaceae. The record is from RNAcentral.